UUCACAGGCUGGACAGGGCCCCUGACAGCUGUCUGGCCGCAGUGUGGCCGUGCCCCGUGUCACUGUAUUGAUCCCACAUCCGUGUCUCAGCCAGUCCCAGCCGUAGUACACGCUCAGCGCAGCUUUAGCAAUGAGAUCUUCAAUGAGUGCUCUUCAUACAAUCUAGCAGAGAAGUGAUACAUAGAGGCACGAUUCUGCAGCAAGCGGGGUGAGUAACGUUACUGAGGAAAAAAGAAGAGCAUGGAAAGAGGGAAG
Neogale vison (American mink) is the source of this 255-nucleotide long non-coding RNA. RefSeq lists it as uncharacterized. Lineage: Eukaryota; Metazoa; Chordata; Mammalia; Carnivora; Mustelidae. The transcript is spliced from 3 exons. The record is from RefSeq and is a predicted model, not a curated record.